This 433-nucleotide ribosomal RNA is filed under the name uncultured bacterium. RNAcentral's name for it is "partial 16S ribosomal RNA". It matches the Rfam family "Bacterial small subunit ribosomal RNA", at positions 29 to 507 of the family's 1533-position model. The record is from RNAcentral.
AACGAACGCUGGCGGCAGGCCUAACACAUGCAAGUCGAGCGAGGACUUCGGUUCUAGCGGCGGACGGGUGAGUAACGCGUGGGAAUGUGCCCUUCUCUACGGAAUAGCCCUGGGAAACUGGGAGUAAUACCGUAUACGCCCUAUGGGGGAAAGAUUUAUCGGAGAAGGAUCAGCCCGCGUUGGAUUAGGUAGUUGGUAGGGUAAUGGCCUACCAAGCCGACGAUCCAUAGCUGGUUUGAGAGGAUGAUCAGCCACACUGGGACUGAGACACGGCCCAGACUCCUACGGGAGGCAGCAGUGGGGAAUCUUAGACAAUGGGGGAAACCCUGAUCUAGCCAUGCCGCGUGAGUGAUGAAGGCCUUAGGGUUGUAAAGCUCUUUCAGCUGGGAAGAUAAUGACGGUACCAGCAGAAGAAGCCCCGGCUAACUCCGUG